AGUCUGCAUCACACACAUGCUCCAACUACUCCUCAUUGUUCUCUCACUUUUUCAGAGUCUCCCAGGAGAGAGAGAAAUGACAGCAACACCUAUUACUAACAAACACACAGGCCUUGUCUGCACUGGGAAAUUGCAUCAGGUAAACAGAGUUGCCAGCUUGGCUGCAAAUCUCCCCGCUCCAGGUGCCUCAGUAGUGGUGAGAACUGCUCCCUGUUACAGCUGCCACAGAACCAGCAGAGUCCACCAGAAGCUGAUUUGGGCUGAAGUGUGGAGAUCUAGUUUGCAGCUGCCAUUACUUACUACAGUCCUCCAAAGAAAUGUGUGAAUGGGAGGAGAAAAUAAAACUUUACAUGUAAUCUCA
Molecule: long non-coding RNA, 361 nt
Organism: Chelonoidis abingdonii (Abingdon island giant tortoise)
Lineage: Eukaryota; Metazoa; Chordata; Testudines; Testudinidae
Source: RefSeq, a predicted model, not a curated record